This is a long non-coding RNA of Acanthochromis polyacanthus (spiny chromis), 4416 nucleotides long. RefSeq lists it as uncharacterized. The record is from RefSeq and is a predicted model, not a curated record. The transcript is spliced from 2 exons. Lineage: Eukaryota; Metazoa; Chordata; Actinopteri; Pomacentridae.
CUCUAACAGAAAAUAAACAAGCACCGAGAGGCGUGAAUAGCCCUGGAUUGGACUGUCUCACUUGUCAUUAAAAAAGAAAAAAAAAGCCGAAUAAAGGAGUCUGUAUUGGAGGCUGUGCUCUCUCGGAGGAGCUCCAUUUCCGUUUAAUCACCUUCCUGAUUGAAGGACGUGGUGAAAUCUGGCCUGUCAGAGGAAUAAUUCAAAGGUAAACUGCUGUGGACGUGAGUGUGUGCAUUUAUUACUCCCAUCAAGUGCUGGGGACCGACUAUACCAUAAAAAUUUCCAUAGGAAGGAAUAACACUUAUAAGAAAAUCAGUCUUCAUUGCCCCUGAAACACAGUAAUCGGGGACAAAAAGGGCAACCUGCUCUCAUAUAGAAACUACAAAUAAGCCCACUCUAAUCAUCUAUUCUUCCGCAAACACAAAGCUGCCUCCAUUUGUGGCAUGUGGUAAUCAGACACUGAAACACCCAUGUAAAGUCCUCACAAAUGCUCCCACAGCCAUAGGAUCUGUGCAGUAAGCAUUAGUUCACUAUAACUGCAACACCUGGGAGUCAGACUUGAGCUGAUUGGGGCCGUGAGAGCUGCAUAUUUCGGACAGAGCACCACUAGAUUCAUCAUUAGUCAUGUUCACUCUGUAAUUAGGCCCUACGGAGGCUCUUGGUUGGCUGAUUUCUGUGCUCCCUUCAGUGCACUGUUCCCUGCCGCCUGCUGAGAGACUCUCCUCUGUUCCCACCCGCAGCCAGCCGCUUCCUAUAGCUGUGGCAGGAGUGUAAUUAUGCCUGUAUGAACCCUCUCAGUGGGGUGUGUGUGUGGGGUGUGUGUGUGUGUGUGUGCAGUGGUACCACACACACCUGCCCUGCAGCACGAUGCGGAGGGUCCAACAGCAGUAGUGUAGCCCACAGCAACAAGAAAAGAUGCUAAAAGCUGCAAGUACAGUUUGGUCAAGUACUUUAAUCACGUUGGUGGCCAAUGACUCGAGUUUGUCACCAUUUCAGUCAGGUUUUUUGCAAAAAUGACAGUGCUGUUACUGCUGCCAUGAAGGUCAUAAAUGAUAAUCAUAACUGAAGCUCUCGAGAAGGACCGAUGCUGUUUGCCCCUUUUUAUCGGCUUUUCAAAGGCAUUUGACACUGUUGACCACGUUGCUUUAAUCAAAUGUCUUUGGGCUAUAGGUCUUUCUCAGCAAGCAGUUGGGUGGUUUGCAAAUUAUCUUGCAAGCAGAACCCAGGCUGUUCAGAUAGAAGUAUUGCAAGUGAAAAAGGGCGUCCCUCAAGGUUCUGUGCUGGGUUCAUUAUUAUUCACUAUUUACAUAAAUAAUAUCAGACAGAAUAUUCCAAACUCAACUUUUUAUUUCUACGCUCGUGACAUUGUCAGAUACUGAGAGGCCUUUCAGUGUUUACAACUUGCAUUUGAUAGAGUACAGGAAGAUCUUUUAAAUGCAAAUAAAACAAAAUGCAUGUCCUUUACUACCUCAAAAAUUUUGAGAUCAGCAUUGUCUGGAAAAAAUUAACAGGAAAUGGUCAACAAAUAGGGUUUAAUAUGCUAAUUUGUGCAAAUAUAACAUUCAUUCUGCCAAAUGGAACAAUGUGUGUAAACCUGAGCCAUAAUUCUGAACACAGUUGUGGCUUGUGACUUUAGAUUCAGUGCGACUCACACCAUUACAAAUAAAUGUCGAUAAAUCCCAUAGAAAUCACAGAAGUUGUCGCAAUUAUAACGUUUUAAUUAAUCACAUUAGUGUUAGUUCUCAGUGGAUCCUAUGGAACAUAGGAUCUAUAUUUUUUAUAUCUGAUUGCACCUUGACUUUUACUAUUAUUAUUAUUAUUAUUAUUAUUAUCUUUAUCUUUUUUACUUACUAUUCUAUUUGUACUUGCACCAAGAGCACCAGAGAAAAUUCCUUGCAAGUGUAAAAACCUACUUGGCAAUAAAACUGAUUCUGAUAACAAAUAGGAAGUGUAAAUAAUGAAUGUGUCGUUCUUAAUUGUCUUUUAUGUAAACAAACAGGUUGAAAAAUAACCAGCUAGAGAGCUGAAUCCAUUGAAUCUGUUGCACUUUCUUCCUGUUUCUUCUUUUAAAGACAAAGAAGCCUCAUUUGUUCAGAUAAAUAACAAUUUUUAAUAUUUAAUAUUAACUCUAAAUGUAAUUGAAAUAUUCUGAUAUCUAUCAGUCUGUCUGUGUGUCUUUUUAUCGAGAGAGAUGUGAAUAAUUCCAGUCUGAGAAAUAGAUGAAAAGAUAAAGUUCCACCACAUAGCAUGUAGUAUUGUUCAGUCAAGCUUUAGUGGAGUAAAAAUAUAUUCAGAUAUAGUUAUUAUAUGCCUUUAAAAUUAGUAAUAAAGUCUUAGAAACAUGCAUUUUUCUAACAAAAAAAUCAGUCCUUUCUAUUCUGUCACCAGCUGCUCUUGCCGGAAAUUUAGGGGAAAAAACAAACACAAAACAAAUAAAAGCCAUGAGUCUAUGCUCCAUUAAAUAUAUUUGACUUUAGCAAAUCUCCUCAUGCUUCAAGUUAAACAGAUCUGCGUACAGAUGGUGAGCCGCCUCCCCACAUAUCUCUUGCUUGCAUGUUGCAACGUUUACUGGCACAAAUUCUUUUCACACAAUCAUAUGUUUCACAACACAGCAAGAAAUUAUUGAGUGUGAGUUAUUCAAAAAGCAAAUUAGGGAACCAUUCCUGCUGUUAUAUCUCCAGAUGUAACUACUCAUGAGCCUGAUAUUGGAAAACUAGGUGCACAUUUCACAGACACAGAGCAACAUUAAUAUUCAUCCAGAGUUAGUGCUUGUGGCCACUUUUCAAAUGGAAGUCCAAUAUUCACUCUGUCUUUUUAUCCUUCUGGACUCCACCGGUUUCAUAAACAGGGUACGCACGAAAUGUCUGCUAUGUUUAUAAAGAGCUAUUCAGCUCAAAGGGCAGAUGAUGAAAGCGGUGACAUGGAUACAUAUACGAAUAAACCAAAAAUAAUGAGCUCAGAGAGACUCAAAAGCUCCAUGUGGCAGCAGUGUUAGGUGAUACUCCUGUGUGGAUUUAUCAGUAAAGGGCCCUUUUACAGGACUCAAAGUCAUUUGAUUAAUUAAAGGGCUAUUACAUGCAGCUUUAAGCACAAUUUUCAAUGCAGGGUUUCUGCUUGGUAUUGAUUUUUCUCCUGUGAUGCAUUCACUUAAGCACAGGAUCUGAAUACUUUUUCUGUCACUGAAUGUUGUGACAUACGGAACGACAUCUUGAGUUGAUAUUUGUGCAUCUGUGCUGAUAGCAUUUCCUGUUUUCUUUAAAGGACGAUAAAGACCAAAACACUCUUUAAAGCCUAAUGUCAUCUAUAUUUUGUGCAGCAUGAAAACCCUCCAUGCAUCCGCUUUGAAAUGAGCAUCUGCUGAACAACAUAUUGUCAGUGUACCAUGGAAGAAACAUCGGAAACAAAAUCCCCUGAUGAUUGCUGUUAAAAGUGGAAGUUGGCUUGUUUUACUGUUACGCUUUGUUUGAGUUUUUAGCGUCUCUGUUGACAAGAAGAAAAACACUGUUCAAGGACAAGCAGGCCAUCUGUGGCAAAGUUUGCCGUGUUCGACGUACAAAACCACUGACCACUAAAUGAACUAACAUCAUUUCCGUCUGUCUUCCUUUCCACUGAAAAUAAAUGUGUUAUAAUGCAGACAGACUUUGAGCUCAAGGCACAAAUUAGCAGGACACUGGCAUCAGACAACAGCAGUGCAAGACUGCAAAGAAAAUACUAGCAAUGGAGCUUCUUGCAAUCAACAAGAUCUGUUUGUGUGAGACUUUAAAAAUAUGUGUUGAUGCAUCUGUUUUUGGAUUUCUAUUGCAUAUGUUACUGUUGUUUUUCCACAGUGUUUGUGUUCUCCUUGGUUGCUUGGACAGUGUCUUGUUGAUAUAAUUAUGUCAAAUGCUAUUAGACUGAAGACCAGAAUUAUGUUUUGAUGGUAUGAGUGUGUAUCUGUGGAGAACACACACACACACAGCUGGAAGAUCACACAAGUAUAACCUGUAACUUUGGUGUGAAGAUACAUGCUUUCUAGAAAAUUAUGUGUGGACUACUCAAAACAUAAAGAUGUAAACUUAAGGUAUUAUAACUUUUAAAAUAUAGCAGAAACAUAACAUAGAUAAUGAUAUAAUAUGCAUGAAAUCUAUCACAAAAUAAUAAGUGUAAGAUGUGGAGCAGAAAGGUUGAACAUGUCUGGGCAUGUGAUAAUGAUAAUGAUAACCUAAUGGGCUACAGGUUGAAAUGCGUCAACCUGACGUCAUGAUCUGACCAGUAGAUUUAGAAAAGCAUGCUGGUGUCAAAACUGUCACUGCCAUCAAACUCUCACAGCAUAAAAGAUGACGCACAGCUCAGUAUCUCUGGUUUUUCUUGUGGUGUUUAUCACUGCUGAGAACUACUCCAGGAUUUUUGUCGACAAUAAAUCCUGCUGCCUCCGAA